This 504-nucleotide ribosomal RNA is filed under the name uncultured bacterium. RNAcentral's name for it is "bacterial SSU rRNA". It matches the Rfam family "Bacterial small subunit ribosomal RNA", at positions 24 to 518 of the family's 1533-position model. The record is from RNAcentral.
UCAGGAUGAACGCUAGCUACAGGCUUAACACAUGCAAGUCGAGGGGUAACGUUGCGGAAGCUUGCUUCUGCAGACGACGACCGGCGCACGGGUGAGUAACGCGUAUCCAACCUGCCCCAUGCUCAGGGAUAACCUUCCGAAAGGGAGCCUAAUACCUGAUGUUGUGCGACGAUGGCAUCAGAAUUGCACGAAAGAUUUUAUCGGCAUGGGAUGGGGAUGCGUCUGAUUAGCUUGCCGGCGGGUAACGGCCCACCGGGGCUACGAUCAGUAGGGUUCUGAGAGGAAGGUCCCCCACACUGGUACUGAGACACGGACCAGACUCCUACGGGAGGCAGCAGUGAGGAAUAUUGGUCAAUGGGCGGGAGCCUGAACCAGCCAAGUAGCGUGCAGGACGACGGCCCUACGGGUUGUAAACUGCUUUUAUGAGGGGAUAAAGUGGGCUACGUGUAGCUUAUUGCAGGUACCUCAUGAAUAAGGACCGGCUAAUUCCGUGCCAGCCGCUGC